GCUAUUUUUGGGCUGAGCGGGGAGGGGGAGGGGGAAAAAAAAAGAAAAGAAGCAAAAAAAGGGGCCAGGGCCGGGGCUCGUCGCGCCGCGUGCCAAGAGGCGGAGGGGUGGGAGGGGUCUCCAUGGCAGCUGCGGAGCUGCUGCAGCUGUGGGUGCCCGGGGGGGGCCAGGUGGGUGAGAGGGGCGCGAUGUGUCCGUUAACGGACCGACCCCCCGCGAGGGUGAAGCCAAGGCCGCUCCCCGCCCAGCUGUCGGCGAUGGGCGCUGCGCCUUGUGCUGCCGGACAGCGGGAACCGGGAGGGGGGCUGCAGCGUGGGGACGUGUCACACCACGGAACGGGGAGGGCCAAGCCAAGGCAAGGACAGAGCCCAGACAAGAGCCCUCGGAUGCCUCAGUCCAGCCCAGCAGCAGAGGAGAGGAGCAGAGCAAGCAGCACACAGCCUUGAUGCAUAUUCAAAAGAAACACUUUGAGAAGCAGCACAGAAGAAGUGUCAAGCAAUAGAGAAGAGUGAACCAAGGGGUCCUUGGUCCUCCCCUCCCCGCUCCAUCUGCUGCUCCGUUAUCUGCAAAGCACAAGGAAUCAGGCAAAUCUCUUGCUACAAACCAGAUUUGCCUUUGUAAGCUUUGAAAUAAACCUCAGGAUUAAAGUCUAAAGACUUUUUUUUUUUUUUUU
This is a long non-coding RNA of Coturnix japonica (Japanese quail), 673 nucleotides long. RefSeq lists it as uncharacterized. Lineage: Eukaryota; Metazoa; Chordata; Aves; Galliformes; Phasianidae. The record is from RefSeq and is a predicted model, not a curated record.